UAAGAAUGUAAAUAAAGAUAAAGG
Molecule: non-coding RNA, 24 nt
Filed under: Drosophila melanogaster (fruit fly)
Lineage: Eukaryota; Metazoa; Arthropoda; Insecta; Diptera; Drosophilidae
Source: RNAcentral